AGUGAACGCUGGCGGUAGGCCUAACACAUGCAAGUCGAACGGCAGCACAGUAAGAGCUUGCUCUUACGGGUGGCGAGUGGCGGACGGGUGAGGCAUACAUCGGAAUCUACUUUUUCGUGGGGGAUAACGUAGGGAAACUUACGCUAAUACCGCAUACGUCCUACGGGUGAAAGCAGGGGAUCUUCGGACCUUGCGCGAUUGAUUGAGCCGAUGUCGGAUUAGCUAGUUGGCGGGGUAAGGGCCCACCAAGGCGACGAUCCGUAGCUGGUCUGAGAGGAUGAUCAGCCACACUGGAACUGAGACACGGUCCAGACUCCUACGGGAGGCAGCAGUGGGGAAUAUUGCACAAUGGGCGCAAGCCUGAUCCAGCCAUACCGCGUGGGUGAUGAAGGCCUUCGGGUUGUAAAGCUCUGUUGUUGGGAAAGAAAAACAGCAUGUGAAUACCCCGCUGUUCUGACGGUACCCAAAGAAUAAGCACCGGCUAACUUCGUG
Molecule: ribosomal RNA, 492 nt
Filed under: uncultured bacterium
Lineage: Bacteria
Description: partial 16S ribosomal RNA
Rfam family: Bacterial small subunit ribosomal RNA
Source: RNAcentral